ACCAAAAUCACGAGGAUGUUUGUUUUCGCGUGACAGAGGGAAUUUUAAAUAACAAACUACACUCGUAGAAGGACAGGGGAUGGGUCUUCGGACACGGGUUCGACUCCCGUCUACUCCAUAA
Molecule: transfer-messenger RNA, 121 nt
Filed under: Lachnospiraceae bacterium
Lineage: Bacteria; Bacillati; Bacillota; Clostridia; Lachnospirales; Lachnospiraceae
Description: partial transfer-messenger RNA
Rfam family: transfer-messenger RNA
About the family: Bacterial tmRNA, also known as 10Sa RNA or SsrA, is named for its dual tRNA and mRNA-like properties. Its role is to liberate the mRNA from a stalled ribosome.
Source: RNAcentral